This 279-nucleotide ribosomal RNA is filed under the name Roseburia faecis M72/1. Its description in RNAcentral is "partial 16S ribosomal RNA". It matches the Rfam family "Bacterial small subunit ribosomal RNA", at positions 498 to 776 of the family's 1533-position model. Lineage: Bacteria; Bacillati; Bacillota; Clostridia; Lachnospirales; Lachnospiraceae. The record is from RNAcentral.
UAUGGGUGUGCCAGCAGCCGCGGUAAUACGUAUGGUGCAAGCGUUAUCCGGAUUUACUGGGUGUAAAGGGAGCGCAGGCGGUGCGGCAAGUCUGAUGUGAAAGCCCGGGGCUCAACCCCGGUACUGCAUUGGAAACUGUCGUACUAGAGUGUCGGAGGGGUAAGCGGAAUUCCUAGUGUAGCGGUGAAAUGCGUAGAUAUUAGGAGGAACACCAGUGGCGAAGGCGGCUUACUGGACGAUAACUGACGCUGAGGCUCGAAAGCGUGGGGAGCAAACAGG